This 253-nucleotide ribosomal RNA is filed under the name uncultured bacterium. RNAcentral's name for it is "partial 16S ribosomal RNA". It matches the Rfam family "Bacterial small subunit ribosomal RNA", at positions 524 to 776 of the family's 1533-position model. The record is from RNAcentral.
UACGGGGGGGGCAAGCGUUGUUCGGAAUUACUGGGCGUAAAGGGCUCGUAGGUGGCCAACUAAGUCAGACGUGAAAUCCCUCGGCUUAACCGGGGAACUGCGUCUGAUACUGGAUGGCUUGAGUUUGGGAGAGGGACGCGGAAUUCCAGGUGUAGCGGUGAAAUGCGCAGAUAUCGGGAAGAACACCCGUGGCGAAGGCGGUUCUCUGGGACGGUACUGACGCUGAGACGCGAAAGCGUGGGGAGCGAACAGG